This 339-nucleotide ribosomal RNA is filed under the name Drosophila nigrodumosa. Its description in RNAcentral is "eukaryotic LSU rRNA". The record is from RNAcentral. Lineage: Eukaryota; Metazoa; Arthropoda; Insecta; Diptera; Drosophilidae.
CCCGAUGAACCUGAAUAUCCGUUAUGGAAAAUUCAUCAUUAGAAUUGUAAUAUUUAAACAAUAUUAUAAUAAUAGUGUGCAUUUUUUCCAUAUAAGGACAUUGUAAUCUAUUAGCAUAUUAAUUUAUCAUAAAAUUAUGUCAUAUAGUUUAUUUCAAUUAAAAUGCUUGCGUUUUAACAUGAAAUAAAAGUUGUAAAUUUGAUAAAGUGCUGAUAGAUUUAUAAAAAUACAGUGCGUUAAUUUUUCGGAAUUAUAUAAUGGCAUAAUUAUCAUUGAUUUUUAUGUUUAUUAUAUGCACUUGUAUGAUUAACAAUGCGAAAGAUUCAGGAUACCUUCGGG